CUUGACCGAGCCGAGCCGCAGCGGCCGGUCGGCAGGCCGGUCGGCGCCGUACGUGGCGAGCACCGCCUGCGCCUC
Molecule: antisense RNA, 75 nt
Filed under: Actinacidiphila paucisporea
Lineage: Bacteria; Bacillati; Actinomycetota; Actinomycetes; Kitasatosporales; Streptomycetaceae
Description: Streptomyces paucisporeus ASpks TB sRNA
Rfam family: ASpks TB sRNA
Source: Rfam by way of RNAcentral